UGCGCAGGCGGGCUUGUAAGUCAGUGGUGAAAUACUGCCGCUUAACGGUAGAACUGCCAUUGAUACUGCGAGUCUUGAAUAUGGUUGAGGUAGGCGGAAUGUGUUGUGUAGCGGUGAAAUGCAUAGAUAUGACACAGAACGCCAAUUGCGAAGGCAGCUUACUAGGCCAUUAUUGACGCUGAGGCACGAAAGCGUGGGGAGCGAACAGGAUUAGAUACCCUGGUAGUCC
RNAcentral lists this ribosomal RNA (229 nucleotides) under uncultured bacterium. RNAcentral's name for it is "partial 16S ribosomal RNA". It matches the Rfam family "Bacterial small subunit ribosomal RNA", at positions 568 to 796 of the family's 1533-position model. The record is from RNAcentral.